Molecule: RNA transcript, 3887 nt
Organism: Abrus precatorius (Indian licorice)
Lineage: Eukaryota; Viridiplantae; Streptophyta; Magnoliopsida; Fabales; Fabaceae
Gene name: bromodomain adjacent to zinc finger domain protein 1A
Exons: 4
Source: RefSeq, a predicted model, not a curated record
GCGGGGCAUUAUCGUCAACUUCCAAAAGAUACUUUAAUGCCAAAUGGUUUACAUGCAAUUUUUUUAAUAUUUUCCUAUUUUAUUAAUUAGAAAAACUUCACACUCUUUGGACUCAAACUCGACUAACGAAUAUUAACACUAAUGAAUCGAAGCGAAACACUUGACGGUUACAUACUGUUUCUAUCAUCAGUUUAUUUAUUUUUCCAACUAUUGUUCACAGAGGUUGAACAUUAAAUCUAAGUAGUUUCAAUGAAAAUGUAAAUUUAAAUCUUGAUUUAUUCUUUUAUAUACAUUUUUUAUUAACACUUAUUUUGCUUUACUCGCUAUAUAAUUUCAUUCUAUUAAUAUUAAAUUUUGAGUAAAUCGUGUAUUUGUAAAGGGGGAAAAGAAGUACGAGUCUAGUGUUUUUAGAAUAUUGAUUACAAAAUUUUAAAAAUAAAAUUAGAUUUAUGAUAAUUUUAAUACUUUUUAAUUUUUUAAAUUAAUUAACAUUUUUCAAUAAAUAUAGUGAUGACGUAAAAUGAAGUUACAGUUUCAACUUUUGUAGAGUUAGGAUGGUAUAAUGCUACUAUAAUCUACCCAAAUAAGUGUUAGGAUGGUAUUUUCGUAAUUUGAAGCGUAACCUCCCCCAGGUCGCAGAGAUGCGGACGCCAUUUGAACGUUCUUAGAAAUGAAAAAAAAAAAGAAGAAGCUGUAUAUCAAUGCAAAAAUAAAAUAAAAUAUUUAUACAGUAAAAUAAGAAAAAAAGAGAAAAGCAAAGAAACAAAACAAAGCAAAAACCUGCGUUGCGGAAAGAAACAUAAUCUGGAAUUCGGAAAGCAAAAUAAUCGUUGGUUGCUUUGUUCCUCCUCUCGCAGAUGGUAAGGGGAGGAAAGGUUAGUGGCAAACGCAAUUUCAGAAAAAGCGUUCAGUCAAAGGAGGGUGGUUCUGAUGAUUCGGAUGAGGACUAUGUAGUUUCGGAUGAGGGUAGAGAAGCAUCUGACUAUUAUUGCUCCUCGUUAGAUGGAUGUACUUCAGAGGAGAGUAUUGAUAGUUUUAUGGAGGAGGAGGAGGAGGAAGAAGAAGAAUUUAAAGGAUUGAGGAAUGUCAAUAGAUCAAAGGCAAAAAAAUCCAGUUCUGGUCGGCGGAAAAAUGCAAGUAAAAAAUCACGAAAGAGAGGAAAGAUUACACAUGCAGAGGAGGAGGAGGAGGAGGAUGAGGAAAUUCAAGAAGUGGGGAACUUCAAUAGGUCAAAGGCCAAAAAUGGUGUUUAUGGUAAGCAAAAAAGUGCAGGUAAAGCCUCAAUAGAGAGGGGAAGGAUAACACGUGCAGAACAACUAGAAGAAGAGGAGGAAGAGGAGUGGGAGGAGAAAGAGGAGGAGGAAGUGUGGGAGGAGAAGGAGGAGGAGUGGGAGCAGAAAGAGGAGGAGGAGGGGAAGGAGAAAGAGGAGGUGGAGUGGAAGGAGAGGAAGGAGAAAGAGGCGGUGGAGAAGGAGGAAGAAGAGAAGGUGGAGAGGGAUGGAGAUGAGGAAGAGGAGGAACAAGAAGAGGAUGGAGAUGGAGAUGAAGAGGAUGAGGAUUUUGACUAUGAUGAUGAGGAUGAUGAAUUUACGCCAGAGGAAGAAGAUUUUUCUGAUGAGGAAGAAGAAAUUAGAGGGGAGAAAAGGAAAAAUAAUGGCAUGAGAGUGGACAAGAAGGUUUUGCAGAAAAGGACCUCUUCAGUUUCUACCAGAGGUCGAAAAAGGCGGAGUUCUAGAGCAUCAAAGAAGCCCUUGAGAAACAAAUUAAGAAAGAAUGGGAAGUUAAAGAAGAAAGAAAGAUGUGACGACGGAGGUGAUUUUAUAGAUAAUGGCCCAGCCAUUAGGACAACUAGUUGGAAAAAACGAGGCCGGAAGAGGAGAAGGGUGCUUCUUUCAGAUUCAGAUUAUGCAUCUACUGGAUCAUCUGAUUUUGAGUAUACUAUAUCUGAAGAAGAGAGAGAACAGGUGAGAGAAGCCAAGGAAUUGUGCGGAGUUGUGAGAAAUAACUUGAGGAGUUCAUCCCAUCUAAUAAACAAUGAAGAGGUUGGUGUCCAUGAAGAUCUACAUCAGCAACGGAAGCCUCCUGGUCGGAAGGGUAAGGAAAAAAUAGAAGAACCUCAGGGAAAAAAGGGUAAGGAAAAGGUGGAGGAUUUAAAAGGUGAGGUGGGAAAGCAGGUGUGUGGAAUUUGUCUGUCGGAGGAAGAUAAAAGAAGAGUAAGGGGAGUUCUAAACUGUUGCACUCACUACUUUUGUUUUGCUUGCAUUAUGGAGUGGGCAAAGGUGGAAUCUCGCUGCCCUUUGUGUAAGCAGAGAUUCAAAACAAUCAGCAAGCCUGCACGAUCAACAACAGGGAUUGAUUUAAGAGAAGUUAUGAUACAAGUCCCCGAACGUGACCAGGUUUAUCAGCCCACUGAAGAAGAACUCAGGAGCUAUAUUGAUCCAUACGAGUAUGUUAUUUGUUCAGAGUGUCAUCAAGGUGGAGAUGAUGGCCUCAUGCUUCUCUGUGAUAUCUGUGAUUCCCCUGCACACACAUAUUGUGUUGGUUUGGGACGGGAAGUUCCUGAAGGUAAUUGGUAUUGUGAAGGUUGUAGGCCAGUUGCUUUGGGAUCUUCAAGCUCCCAAAUUCAAGAAGGUGUGGCUGAUUCAAGGGUGACAAUCCAGAGCCUUCCUGUUAGAUCACCUCCUGUUCUACAUGUACGAGAAAGUAUAGACCUAAACUUGAUUUCUUCACCCCGCACAGUUUUUAAUCAAGGAUUAGGGCCUCUUUCAUCUUCUAGAUUUCCUGGCAGAAGUGUUGAAGGAGUUUCUCCUGUGUCUGGAGGGGCACCAACUUUAUCAGGGAGACGCUGGAUACACCGACAAAUUCAACAGCUACUUUCAAUGGAUAGGAUGACUUCUACAGCUGGAAGAAGUAAUAGUAUUUCAGCUACCACUUCAACUAGUAACUUCCAUAGCUCUCAAAUUGAUCAAAGUAGGGAAACAGCCACUCAGCAUACCAGGACACAGGAUGUGGGAACAUCAUACCACACAUUUUUUGAUGAAAGAUUAUGCAACAAUAACUCUCCAUUAAUGCAGAAUGGAACAUUAUGGCCUGAACUUACAGGGACCCCCCCUGUACCUGAUUGUGAACAAGUCCAUCAGUUCAGUAGAUCAAACAUUGUCACUGAUGGUAGUUUAUCCCCUGUUGUCAGAGAAGAGACGAACUUUCACAUUGCUAAGGAGCAGUUGCAGUCAAUGGUUAAAAGCCACCUGAAGAGCAUGUCUCAAAAUAUUGAUUUAGGUAAGUAUUGCAUUUCUUCUAUCAGUUACAUAUAAUUUUUUUUUCUACCAUUUUUUCCCGUUUAUCAUAUGGGGAGGGAGGGCUUUUAGCCACAAUCGGGACUCAAACACAUAAAGUGGGGUCUUCCCCCACCAUUAGAGACAUGGUACAUGACUAUCUAUCAAACCACAAGGCCGGGAUCAUUACAAAAAAUCAGGACAGGCUUUCCUAUGAUGUGAAGAGAACCUUCAUAGAGGCCACAAUACAUUCAAGGAUGUUACAAGGAGUUCUAUGCACACAAUUCUAGCAGCUUGUGGUCUGGAGCACAAGAAGAGCGAAGUUUGCACUGUGCCAACCCCGUCUGUUUGUCCACACAUUGAACUAAUGGCUGGUGGGCAAACUAGUCUGAUUAAAGGUUGCUGUUCAUCUUGCUUUGAUUCUUUUGUAGGAGAUGUGGUGAAGAGGAUUUUGGACACAAGAAUUUCGUCACAGUGGUUACGAUUAGGUCUUUAGGCAUGAAAUUAUUGCAAUGUGUUCAAUGGCCCACCUUUUUUCCGUUAGGAGUUCAGAAAGACAAGAAUAUUUCAUUUACUUGUUCAUAUAUAAUAUGAUUCACCAUCUCUGAACUG